GACGAACGCCGGCGGCGUGCUUAACAUAUGCAAGUCGAACGGAAAGGCCCUGCUUUUGUGGGGUGCUCGAGUGGCGAACGGGUGAGUAACACGUGAGUAACCUGCCCUUGACUUUGGGAUAACUUCAGGAAACUGGGGCUAAUACCGGAUAGGAGCUCCUGCUGCAUGGUGGGGGUUGGAAAGUUUCGGCGGUUGGGGAUGGACUCGCGGCUUAUCAGCUUGUUGGUGGGGUAGUGGCUUACCAAGGCUUUGACGGGUAGCCGGCCUGAGAGGGUGACCGGCCACAUUGGGACUGAGAUACGGCCGAGACUCCUACGGGAGGCAGCAGUGGGGAAUAGUGCACAAUGGGCGGAAGCCUGAUGCAGCAACGCCGCGUGCGGGAUGACGGCCUUCGUGUUGUAAACCGCUUUCGCCUGUGACGAAGCGUGAGUGACGGUAAUGGGUAAAGAAACACCGGCUAACUACGUG
This 468-nucleotide ribosomal RNA is filed under the name uncultured bacterium. RNAcentral describes it as "partial 16S ribosomal RNA". It matches the Rfam family "Bacterial small subunit ribosomal RNA", at positions 28 to 507 of the family's 1533-position model. The record is from RNAcentral.